UGAGACAAAAGGUUACCCAAUAAGCUCACUGCAGGAGCAACGGAAGACUGGGGAUCCAGGACCUUGUGUGACUUGUAUACAGGUUAAGUGAACCUCCCCAAGCUGGGUGUCACCCUAACACAGAGUUGACAAAUCCCAGCCAGAUCCCAAUCGCUUUUGAUCUCUACACACACUCCCGAGCUGGUGUUCUCUUGAAUAAAAGUGAAGUGCUGAGAGGGGCCAAACUGGGCGACAGGCGCAGCUCCGCGUGCAGGUCUCCCGGAAGGUCACGAAGCUAAAGAUAUGACCUACGCCAGCUCCUAGCCCCCAGCCCUGGUGAUGUGGACACAGACAACUCAUGUCCUUUUCCUGAGGACCCCGGCAGAUCUCCCAGCGUCCUACCUUAUCUGCCUUUAAGUGUUAGACCAAGAGCAAAACCGGCUAGGCAUUAUC
This 432-nucleotide long non-coding RNA is filed under the name Mus pahari (shrew mouse). RNAcentral's name for it is "lncRNA (MGP_PahariEiJ_G0002194.1)". The record is from RNAcentral. Lineage: Eukaryota; Metazoa; Chordata; Mammalia; Rodentia; Muridae.